ACAACCAUAGCGACUCCUCCUCCUCCUCUAGAGUAUUUGUAUUUAACAACCACACACAAAACAAAGAAACACAAAUGCUGAACCCCCUCCCUCCCCCCUUUAACUCAUUUUGUUGUAGGGUGAAGUGCCUUGGCACAGGAUUUUCAGCUUCGGGGAAUGAUACUGAAAGGUCUUCAUUUAAGAUAUGGAUCAGGAAUACCAUUCAGCACAAUUGUUUUCUGGGAGCAGCGCCAAAAGGUUUCCACUCCUUUGCUUCCUGGGAUCAAUGAUGGGCAUGCCAUCUGGUCAAUCUCCUCUGCACUACAUUCAGUGGGGCUUCCAGGUUAGUCUGCAACACCCCCAGUGAGCCCCAGUCAAGUGUGAGUGACUGAAGCAGUGUAUAAUUUCUAUUCAUGAAUUCUAGAAGGGAAAACUAAUCCUUUUCCAGGACUGAGAUCCAAAAGGCUUUGGAAGAUGGAUCUAAAUACUGUCACACUUCAUGGUAUUUGAAUCAGUUGUUCUAAUGUGGGAUCAUCUCUAAUUUGCAGUAUUCCAAACUGCAAAGCUAAAUGUAUGGUAGCAUUUUUAAUAAACUUAAAUAAAUCAAGACA
RNAcentral lists this long non-coding RNA (590 nucleotides) under Chrysemys picta bellii (western painted turtle). RNAcentral's name for it is "lncRNA (ENSCPBG00000010468.1)". The record is from RNAcentral. Lineage: Eukaryota; Metazoa; Chordata; Testudines; Emydidae.